GGCUAUGUGGUACCUAGACUUUGACUACAAGGUCUGGGAAUAGUUGAUAAGACUAAAAGAAAAAGAAAAUGUCUACGAUACAGUGAGUGGGCAUACAGCAUGAAAAUAAGAAAAUAGUCUUUAAUUAUAGGAGUGUCAGUGUUCUCAGUAUCCACUCCAUCCAAUUCCCAACGUUUGUAUCCUCCAUUCCAAAAAAUAUACAAGCAAAAUUAAUCACAACAGUGGCCAUGUGUGAAAAUAAAUGUUUCAUUCCGUACCUGUAGUCCACCAUGUCUCUGCUAAGAUGCUUGUCAUCCUCUGAAGUCAGAAUAAGAUCUUCUUGAGCAACUUUUGUCUAGGAAACAAGUUUUACUCAACUGAUUGGGGAAUCUCUGAACAAACAGUGAUGUAUGAAGGGAGUGUUAUUGUGACAUUGAAACCUACAAGUCUAUAAGUUGAAAAAA
Molecule: long non-coding RNA, 443 nt
Organism: Antechinus flavipes (yellow-footed antechinus)
Lineage: Eukaryota; Metazoa; Chordata; Mammalia; Dasyuromorphia; Dasyuridae
Exons: 3
Source: RefSeq, a predicted model, not a curated record